AGAGCUCUCUCUCUCGAACACUCCCUCUGCUACAGUGCUAAAAAGGUGAUUUCGCCGGAGCUCUCCGCCACAGGCUAGAUCCGGUCCCUCUCCUCCUUCUCCGGCUUGUUGCCGGCGUCAGUGAGGGUGAGGGACCCAUCCUGUUGUACAGAAGUAGUUCUUAGGUUUAGUUUUUGUUAAAUAAGCGGAGAUCAAGUUGGUCGCCGUUCAUCGCCGUGCUCAUGCAAGGUGAUUUGUCUCUUCUACGGUGCUGGUAUAGCAGAGAUGUUCUCGUUGCUGCGUUGCUACUACUGUGUCUUGCCAUGGAUGCUGGGUUCCUAGCUUGGGUUGAUCGCUGCAAGCUCAUCCCCAUGAGAACUCCCCUUCAGUCGAGCUCAGUGAUGCUCCCUCUAGAUCUACGCCUACGACCCUCAUUACCUCGACGGGCGAUGCUGGAUCUGAUGCGAUGGCUAGGAGGACUGUCGGCCAGUCAAUCUGCACCGAGAGGCUGUUUCCCAUCUGAGACGCGGUGGUUACUCGGUCUGCCGGUCACACCACGAGGUGCCGUUGUGGAUGGAGGCAUCCAUGGUUGAUGUCCAGUAUCUGCAACCUUGGUGGAGUCCAUCUUUGUGCUUGGAGCAUCUCGACAGCGGUGAGCAGUUGAUUUCGUCAUCGUCAACAAUGCUCUCAGAAGGACUGUAAUAAAAUUCUCUAUUUUCUUUUAUGUCCUUCUUGCUUGCAUGCCUAAAGGGCUUCUUUGUAAUUUCUACUUUGGGCAAGAGCCCUCUUGUAAAAAGGCAGUAUACCUUCCCAAGUAAUGGAGAUCUUAGCCCUAAGGGGCGUUUACCCUUCAAAAAAAGGUUACAUUCUCUUAGCUAUAUUAUUACAUCCUAUGCACAAUAAAGUUAUU
Molecule: long non-coding RNA, 889 nt
Organism: Phragmites australis (common reed)
Lineage: Eukaryota; Viridiplantae; Streptophyta; Magnoliopsida; Poales; Poaceae
Exons: 2
Source: RefSeq, a predicted model, not a curated record